Molecule: ribosomal RNA, 451 nt
Filed under: uncultured bacterium
Lineage: Bacteria
Description: bacterial SSU rRNA
Rfam family: Bacterial small subunit ribosomal RNA
Source: RNAcentral
AGCGAACGCUGGCGGCAGGCUUAACACAUGCAAGUCGAGCGGGCGUAGCAAUACGUCAGCGGCAGACGGGUGAGUAACGCGUGGGAACAUACCUCUUGGUUCGGAACAACACAGGGAAACUUGUGCUAAUACCGGAUAAGCCCUUACGGGGAAAGAUUUAUCGCCGAGAGAUUGGCCCGCGUCUGAUUAGCUAGUUGGUGAGGUAACGGCUCACCAAGGCGACGAUCAGAGCUGGUCUGAGAGGAUGAUCAGCCACAUUGGGACUGAGACACGGCCCAAACUCCUACGGGAGGCAGCAGUGGGGAAUAUUGGACAAUGGGCGCAAGCCUGAUCCAGCCAUGCCGCGUGAGUGAUGAAGGCCCUAGGGUUGUAAAGCUCUUUUGUGCGGGAAGAUAAUGACGGUACCGCAAGAAUAAGCCCCGGCUAACUUCGUGCCAGCAGCCGCUGUAAU